RNAcentral lists this unclassified non-coding RNA (355 nucleotides) under uncultured fungus. RNAcentral describes it as "sequence contains ITS1". The stretch from base 1 to 105 matches the Rfam family "5.8S ribosomal RNA", at positions 50 to 154 of the family's 154-position model. Lineage: Eukaryota; Fungi. The record is from RNAcentral.
GAAACGCGAUAGUUAAUGUGAAUUGCAGAAUUCAGUGAAUCAUCGAGUCUUUGAACGCACAUUGCGCCUUUUGGUAUUCCGAGAGGCACGUCUGUUUGAGCGUCAGCAAAACCCUCCGGCCUCCCGUUUGUUCGGGGGCACGGGUCAGCUGGCGCGGGGACUGGCCACCGCGCUUCGGUGCGGGCGGGCCUUCCCCCGCUUAAAGGUGUGGAAGCUAGCGGGGUGCGCCCCGGAUCGCGACGACUCGUAAGCACUUACUGUCGAAGGCAUCCGGACACCCCCGCCUCAAAACCGUGGCAUGCAUUUGCCCUUGAACCUUGACCUCAGAUCAGACGAGGAUACCCGCUGAACUUAA